Molecule: transfer RNA, 72 nt
Filed under: Ovis aries (sheep)
Lineage: Eukaryota; Metazoa; Chordata; Mammalia; Artiodactyla; Bovidae
Rfam family: tRNA
About the family: Transfer RNA (tRNA) molecules are approximately 80 nucleotides in length. Their secondary structure includes four short double-helical elements and three loops (D, anti-codon, and T loops).
Source: Rfam by way of RNAcentral
UCCCUGGUGGCUCAGAUAGUAAAGCGUCUGUCUACAAUGCAGGAGAUCUGGGUUCGAUCCCUGGGUGGGGAA